UAUUUCCUGAUAUGCUGAACUCCAUAUAUGAAUUGGGAAGCUAUGCUGAUAUGAAACCAAUACACUACUUGUUGGACCAGUGUAGCACGCAAUAAGCCUCCACAAAACAAGGCAACAUCCGUUAGAACAUACAGAAGCCAACUCAUGUAGAAUAUGGAAAAUCAGAUAUAUGUGUCAUCUUGAUGUAAUACAUCACUUAUAUGCAGUACUGCUUAUAUGAGCAUUCAAUAUUAUUUUUCUUUGCGGCACACAGUAUUGCCCACAUUGUCUUUUCUCCUGUUGAUGUAAAAAGUUCGACGGAAAAGCUCAAUACGAGUACAGUGAAAUAAACUUGCACAUGCAGGCAAGACACCAACUCCUAUAUUAUUUGAAGAGGGUAUUUCGCACAUAUUCAGGCAAGACACAUGCAGGCAAGACCCACGGAUUCAGAGACCCACGCGAUUUUAAUCCUAUGUAAUAUCGCUAAGCAAAAGCUGGUAUAGUGGUAUACUCCUUCUCAUAAGUAAUGUUAACUGUUAAUAUUAAUAUCUUAGUGUGGUGGUAUCAGCCAGGAGCAACCUAGCAAGCUCCUGGGUCUAGACAUGGCCAACACAGGUUAACAAAAGCAAUUGAGGCCCACGUACAAAAAAAUAUACUAUUCAGAUAAAACUACUUCCACAAAAUGAAAUGCUAGGAACGGAAGAAAGAAGCGCGGUAGAAAUUGGAUACAGAAUGAAAUUUUAAUUACCAUAUGUGAACGAUGUGGCAGGGAUGUUGACCACGCCACCUAAUUAUCAUUAAUGAAUUGACCUGAUUGAUAAACUGGACAGUGUAAAUAGUUGGAGGUUCAAAUUCAAAUGGUGUUUAAUAGGUCAGGUUUGAUAAGUGGUCCUUUUUCAUUUGAUAAACAUUAUUGUGAGUUGCCACGACAAGAACUAUUUGCAUAUGCUGGAAAGUAACAACUAACUUGAACAAAUAUAUUGUCUCUUGAAAAGAAAGGGACUAAAUGAAUAUCUCUAUGCAGUGGACUUUCCAAGGGUAUCACAUGAGGCUUCUCCCGCUAUGAAGAUUUGGGAGGGUAUUCCAACACAAAUGGAGCUCACAAAGAUGGGUUUAGCAAGCUUCAUGGUGAAUACCUUAAACACACACCAAUAAGAAAUUCACCUCUUUCAGAUUUGCCAUCCUUCUGUCGCAUGAUUUCCCAAAUUCACUACUGUUGUCUCAGUGUAUCACUUCAUUUUACUUCUCCAGGCUCAGAAAAAAAAACACCGUCACAAGUUCUUGACAGGGACAUCUACUAUUCGACCUACCACACUACCCUAGAGAGGAGGAAGUUUAGGAAAGAGGAAUAGGAAGCAUUCACCAAAGAAGAAACAAGAAAGGGUAUGCAACAGUUACUGUCCUCGCCAAAUUUCAACAGGUGGGCGCUUGCCAAUGCGGACAGGAUAUUAGUGACUCCAGUAGGAUGUGGACACAACAGCAGCCAGGAGCGACAUCGUUUCUUUGGAUGGUUUUAAAUUGUGUAUGGUUACAGAUUUAUCAGUUACUCGUGUCUCAAGUGCUUGCAGCAACAUGUGUGGUUCAGUGAUUCUAUGAAGGCUAGGAUAUGAUAGUAGCUGAAUGUUACCAGUGUUUUUAGUGGCGACAGCAACAUGUGUGGUUCAGUGAUUUAGAGACCCACGCGAGGGGGAAAGAACGAAGGGAGUUGCUCACUUAUUGUAUCCAAGGAUGGUGCCGCAGACGUAGAGCCGCACGCGCUAGCCGGUGGCACUCCUCCACGCGGACGUGUCUGGCCCAAUCUAUCAUCUCCUUCCUGGUGAGGGCCAACAGGCGACGACGGCGGCACACACACCAAGCGGCGGCGAGACGAGUCCAUGGAGCG
RNAcentral lists this long non-coding RNA (1861 nucleotides) under Hordeum vulgare. Its description in RNAcentral is "long non-coding RNA (HVUL_LNC020904)". Lineage: Eukaryota; Viridiplantae; Streptophyta; Magnoliopsida; Poales; Poaceae. The record is from RNAcentral.